Molecule: ribosomal RNA, 119 nt
Filed under: Arabidopsis suecica
Lineage: Eukaryota; Viridiplantae; Streptophyta; Magnoliopsida; Brassicales; Brassicaceae
Source: RNAcentral
GGAUGCGAUCAUACCAGCACUAAUACACCGAAUCCCCUCAGAACUCCGCAGUCAAGCGUGCUUGGGCGAGAGUAGUAAUACGAUGGGUGACCUCCCGGGAAAUCCUCGUAUUGCAUCCC